UUUUAUUUAUUUUUUACGAAUUUGGGUUCAUUUAUUUAGUUACUCUGAUUUCAGGUUUUGGGGUAAUCCCUAAUGCUUUAUUUAUUUAUUUUUUACGAAUUUGGGUUCAUUUAUUUGGUUACUUUGAUUUGAGGUUCUUGAGUAAUCCCUAUUGCUAUAUAAGAGGAGCUGAGGUAUUUAAAUUUCACAACAUAUUGGAUUCUAUCAGGAAGGGGAUUGAAUCUCACAGAUUAGCUCAGGGUCAAGACCUCUAUCAAAGAGAAGAAAAAUCAUUAAGACAUUGCAAAACAGAACUCGCCCAAUUAAAUAGCAUGCUGUUCAAAACUAUCCAAAUUUUGCUAUUUUGAUGCCUACUUCCUACUAUUAACAUCUCAAUGUAUAUACAAACAAGUGUACUAUUUUAACAUAACAAGUAGCCUGUAAAAUAUGUUAUUACUUGUUUUUUUGCAACUUACACUCCCUUAGUUAAACAUAAUGUUAUAAAUUAAAUCUCAUUGUAUA
Molecule: long non-coding RNA, 501 nt
Organism: Prunus dulcis (almond)
Lineage: Eukaryota; Viridiplantae; Streptophyta; Magnoliopsida; Rosales; Rosaceae
Exons: 2
Source: RefSeq, a predicted model, not a curated record